RNAcentral lists this small nucleolar RNA (148 nucleotides) under Grus americana (Whooping crane). RNAcentral also lists the same sequence under 1 other name. Lineage: Eukaryota; Metazoa; Chordata; Aves; Gruiformes; Gruidae. The record is from RNAcentral.
CUUCAGUGAUGAUACGAUGACGAGUCAGAAGGGAUGUCCUUGUGUCAUUGCAGCCCGUUCAGUGCCAUGUUCUGUGGUGCUGUGCUCAGGCUGCCUUGGGCAGGAUGUCCUAUUCAUUGGAUGAUUUAGAGGCAUUUGUCUGAGAAGG